UGUUAACAAAGUGACAAAGCAAAAGUCAUUGCCUACUGCGAUUCAAUAUUAAGCGCCUUGGAAACAUUUGGUUUCAAUGUGUUGCAAUGACGGCUGAUUUAUGCAUUUUUAAAUUUCGUUAAAAAAUCACAAUCCAUACAAUUAGUUUACAAUCUUUUAAACCAUUUGUUUUUUUCAAAAGAUAAAUAAUUUAAUUAAUAAUUACGAUUAAAUAAAUUGAUUUUUUCCCCUUUUUUUUGCCCAACAUCCCAAGUGACCAUACUGUCUGGUGCCUAGUGAUGCAAAUGGCGAUAUCUAAUCCAUUCGGUAGUUGAUGACAUUUUAAGAAAUUAGAAGUCUAUUUUCCAAGAAAAAAAAGGAGUUACGCAAUUUGCUACCAGUUGAGGUCAAAUUAGGUACCUGGGGUUAACCUUUAUUCAGGGCGAAGUUGGAGCCAAACUAAGUUACCCUAUCGAUAUAGGCGAGCCAUCAUUCGUACUCAUAAUGGGAUUGCUAUGGAAAUAUUAUCAUUCUACCGCUAAUCAUAUGACAAAUUACCUUAAUUACUUACAGUUUGAGGCAUUGCGAUUUGGUACAAUUACAAGGUUUCCUGGGUCGAAUGCCAUUGGCCUCGAGGCUGGAUGAAGAUUUCUGAGAGUUUUUACCCUCAGAUAUUGAUCCGAUUGAUAAAUUUGCUAAUGAAGCCUGAGAAGAUCCUAACAAACUCGGCGUUGAUUGCUGCGAUUUUCCCUUUGUCUCCUCUGAUUGUUGCUGCAGGAUCAUCAAUAACAAAGCAAAGGAAUCGAACAAAGGUGUGACAUCAAAGAAUGUAGUUGCAAGAAUAAAACGUGUUAUCAC
This is a long non-coding RNA of Athalia rosae (coleseed sawfly), 837 nucleotides long. RefSeq lists it as uncharacterized. The transcript has 2 exons. The record is from RefSeq and is a predicted model, not a curated record. Lineage: Eukaryota; Metazoa; Arthropoda; Insecta; Hymenoptera; Athaliidae.